GAUGAACGCUGGCGGCGUGCCUAAUACAUGCAAGUCGAGCGAACAGACGAGGAGCUUGCUCCUCUGACGUUAGUGGCGGACGGGUGAGUAACACGUGGAUAACCUACCUAUAAGACUGGGAUAACUUCGGGAAACCGGAGCUAAUACCGGAUAAUAUAUUGAACCGCAUGGUUCAAUAGUGAAAGACGGUUUUGCUGUCACUUAUAGAUGGAUCCGCGCCGCAUUAGCUAGUUGGUAAGGUAACGGCUUACCAAGGCGACGAUGCGUAGCCGACCUGAGAGGGUGAUCGGCCACACUGGAACUGAGACACGGUCCAGACUCCUACGGGAGGCAGCAGUAGGGAAUCUUCCGCAAUGGGCGAAAGCCUGACGGAGCAACGCCGCGUGAGUGAUGAAGGUCUUCGGAUCGUAAAACUCUGUUAUUAGGGAAGAACAAAUGUGUAAGUAACUAUGCACGUCUUGACGGUACCUAAUCAGAAAGCCACGGCUAACUACGUG
Molecule: ribosomal RNA, 497 nt
Filed under: uncultured bacterium
Lineage: Bacteria
Description: partial 16S ribosomal RNA
Rfam family: Bacterial small subunit ribosomal RNA
Source: RNAcentral